CUUGUUGAAAUAUAAGAUUCUUCCAAUCUUGAAGUACUUGUUUAAAUCUAGCUACAAUUUGCUUCUCAUUGUUGAUCAUAUUUUGUGUACAGUAGAGAUGAUGAAGGGAAAAAAUGGAGCUAACUUAAAGUUAAAGAAGAGGAUAUGCAGUGGAAAACUUGGGAGGUUUCUAAAAGAGCAGAGAGGAAGGCUAUACAUUGUGAGAAGAUGUGUAGUUAUGCUACUUUGUUGGCAUGAUUAAUUGCACACCUAUAAUUGUAAAUAGCAAGGAG
This 272-nucleotide long non-coding RNA is filed under the name Solanum tuberosum (potato). RNAcentral's name for it is "long non-coding RNA (STUB_LNC003241)". The record is from RNAcentral. Lineage: Eukaryota; Viridiplantae; Streptophyta; Magnoliopsida; Solanales; Solanaceae.